GACGAACGCUGGCGGCGUGCUUAACACAUGCAAGUCGAACGGAAAGGCCCUGCUUUUGUGGGGUGCUCGAGUGGUGAACGGGUGAGUAACACGUGAGUAACCUGCCCUUGACUUUGGGUUAACUUCAGGAAACUGGGGCUAAUACCGGAUAGGAGCUCCUGCUGCAUGGUGGGGGUUGGAAAGUUUCGGCGGUUGGGGAUGGACUCGCGGCUUAUCAGCUUGUUGGUGGGGUAGUGGCUUACCAAGGCUUUGACGGGUAGCCGGCCUGAGAGGGUGACCGGCCACAUUGGGACUGAGAUACGGCCCAGACUCCUACGAGAGGCAGCAGUGGGGAAUAUUGCACAAUGGGCGGAAGCCUGAUGCAGCAACGCCGCGUGCGGGAUGACGGCCUUCGGGUUGUAAACCGCUUUCGCCUGUGACGAAGCGUGAGUGACGGUAAUGGGUAAAGAAGCACCGGCUAACUACGUG
This 468-nucleotide ribosomal RNA is filed under the name uncultured bacterium. RNAcentral's name for it is "partial 16S ribosomal RNA". It matches the Rfam family "Bacterial small subunit ribosomal RNA", at positions 28 to 507 of the family's 1533-position model. The record is from RNAcentral.